This 98-nucleotide non-coding RNA is filed under the name Leptotrichia buccalis. RNAcentral describes it as "Glycine sequence". It matches the Rfam family "Glycine riboswitch aptamer". From Rfam's summary of the family: This family represents the bacterial glycine riboswitch. Glycine riboswitches usually consist of two metabolite-binding aptamers domains with similar structures in tandem. The aptamers cooperatively bind glycine to regulate the expression of downstream genes. Lineage: Bacteria; Fusobacteriati; Fusobacteriota; Fusobacteriia; Fusobacteriales; Leptotrichiaceae. The record is from RNAcentral.
GGACGAGCCUCUGGAGAGACUGUCUUAAGUGACAGCACCGAAGGAGCAAAGGAAUUUUAAUUCCCUAAACUCUCAGGUAAAAGAACAGAGAAUAUACA